GGUUAAGCGAUUAAGCGUACACGGUGGAUGCCCUGGCAGUCAGAGGCGAUGAAGGGCGUGCUAAUCUGCGAUAAGCGCCGGUAAGGUGAUAUGAACCGUUAUAACCGGCGAUACCCGAAUGGGGAAACCCAGUGUGACUCGUCACACUAUCAUUAACUGAAUCCAUAGGUUAAUGAGGCGAACCGGGGGAACUGAAACAUCUAAGUACCCCGAGGAAAAGAAAUCAACCGAGAUUCCCCCAGUAGCGGCGAGCGAACGGGGAGGAGCCCAGAGCCUGAAUCAGCAUGUGUGUUAGUGGAAGCGUCUGGAAAGGCGCGCGAUACAGGGUGACAGCCCCGUACACAAAAGCGCAUGUGCUGUGAGCUCGAUGAGUAGGGCGGGAC
This 383-nucleotide ribosomal RNA is filed under the name Salmonella enterica subsp. enterica serovar Agona str. 241981. Its description in RNAcentral is "bacterial LSU rRNA". It matches the Rfam family "Bacterial large subunit ribosomal RNA", at positions 1 to 423 of the family's 2925-position model. Lineage: Bacteria; Pseudomonadati; Pseudomonadota; Gammaproteobacteria; Enterobacterales; Enterobacteriaceae. The record is from RNAcentral.